UACGUAGGGGGCAAGCGUUGUCCGGAUUUAUUGGGCGUAAAGAGCGUGUAGGCGGCUAGAUAGGUCCGUUGUGAAAACUCGAGGCUCAACCUCGAGAUGUCGAUGGAAACCGUCUGGCUAGAGUCCGGAAGAGGAGUGUGGAAUUCCUGGUGUAGCGGUGAAAUGCGCAGAUAUCAGGAAGAACACCUAUGGCGAAGGCAGCACUCUGGGACGGUACUGACGCUGAGACGCGAAAGCGUGGGGAGCGAACAGG
This 253-nucleotide ribosomal RNA is filed under the name uncultured bacterium. RNAcentral describes it as "partial 16S ribosomal RNA". It matches the Rfam family "Bacterial small subunit ribosomal RNA", at positions 524 to 776 of the family's 1533-position model. The record is from RNAcentral.